UACAGAGAGAGUGAGGAAUGGAGUGUGAGUGAGGUACAGAGAGAGUGAGGUGUGGAGUGAGUGAGAUAGGGAGAGUGAGGUGUGGAGUGUGAGUGAGGUACAGAGAGAGUGAGGCAUGGAGUAUGAGUGAGAUAGGGAGAGUGAGGUGUGGAGUGUGAGUGAGGUACAGAGAGAGUGAGGGGUGGAGUGUGAUUGAGGAACAGAGAGAGUGAAGCAUGGAGUGUGAGUGAGGUAUAGAGAGAGUGAGGCAAUGAGUGCGAGUGAGAUAGGGAGAGUGAGGGGUGGAGUGUGAGUGAGAUAGGGAGAGUGAGGGAUGGACUGUGAGUGAGGUACAGAGUGAGUGGGGGUGGAUUGUGAUUGAGGUACAGAGAGAGUGAGGCAUGGAGUGUGAGUGAGAUAUGGAGAGUUUGGUGUGGAGUGUGAGUGAAAUAGGGAGAGUGAGGGGUGGAGUGUGAUUGAGAUAGGGAGAGUGAGGGAUGGACUGUGAGUGAGGUACAGAGUGAGUGGGGGUGGAUUGUGAUUGAGGUACAGAGAGAGUGAGGCAUGGAGUGUGAGUGAGAU
Molecule: long non-coding RNA, 561 nt
Organism: Hypanus sabinus (Atlantic stingray)
Lineage: Eukaryota; Metazoa; Chordata; Chondrichthyes; Myliobatiformes; Dasyatidae
Exons: 3
Source: RefSeq, a predicted model, not a curated record